GUUCUAAAAUAGUCAGACCAGCAGUCUGGCGUGAGUUUUUUUCUGCGACCGUUAUUUUGCAAUCAGUCGCGUUCUAAUUUCCAUGGAGACGCAUGAACCUUGUCAUGUGACAUUUCAGUCAAAAUGGCGCGCACACGAUGGAUAACCGUCUGCAGGUGAGUAGCUUGAAUAUUUCGCUUUAUUUAAUUUUUUUUAUUCAAAACCUCUCAAAUAAUUUGUUAGCGUGUACCGACUAUGGUUGAAAUGGUUCUGUUUGCUGCCCCCACCCCCUCCCCUCCACUGCUGUGAACUUCGCUUGCACAUGGUACUUUGCAUCUCCCCCAGAACAGCCGCGUGACAAUCCGUGCAUCUCCCCCAGAAACGCCGCGUGACAAUCGGCUUAAUAAUGCUUCAGUGUGUGGUACUCCUCAAAACACGGGACAGCACACAAGGGAGUGUUGCAUGGCACACACAUGUGCUUGGUGAGGCGCCUCUGCUUGCCCUUGCGUGUGCUGGAGAGGCAGACCUUGCAGUGCCGCCUGGUCUUGCUGCCCUGGGAAGUGGUCUGAGGGACUUCAGAUGGGAAAUGCCUGGCUGUAAGGCGCAGAGGAGUGUCCAAGGCAGGACGCCCGCCUUUGGUUGGACCUCGCAGUGUGCUGUACUCCUCCAGCAGCCCUCUCAUCAGCACACAGACUGGCUUCAUCAUUGGUUGCCCAGUGAGGUGAUCCAGCUUGCCUGUGGCUGCCAUACCAGUUGGAUGGACUGUGGUGAACUUUGGCAUCCCUUUUCUGUGUCCGCGCACGGUCCCACAAGCUCCAGUGCCAAGUGACAAGAGGUGCUGGAAAAGUAUGGGACUACUGUACCAGUUGUCAACAUAUAGAACAUGACAUUUGCCUAAGUAAGGUGCUAAGAGUGUCAUCACAACGGACCCAGAAAUCCCAAGUCCUGGGUAAUGUUGUAUGUCAGUGGAGGAUCCAGUGUAAAUGAUCAUGUCCUCCACAUAACCAGUUAGCACAUCACACAAAACAAAAAACUUGAUCUCAAAUCUGUGCCGUUUAGAUGGAAUGAACUGACGAAAUGCCAGCCUGCCUUUCCACUUCAUCAGAGACUCAUCCACACACAGAUCCCUGUAUGGCACAAAAAUGCGACGAAAAGAGGAGGAACUGGUGUCAUCUCUUCGUCUUCAAAGUUGUCCAGAGCUUCAAGAUUUGGGGGAAGAUCCUCAUCACUGUCACUCUCUGCCUCGCUGUCAAAAAUCUCCUCAUCAGAAUUAAAAAAAAAUUCCUCAA
This is a long non-coding RNA of Carassius gibelio (silver crucian carp), 1268 nucleotides long. RefSeq lists it as uncharacterized. The record is from RefSeq and is a predicted model, not a curated record. Lineage: Eukaryota; Metazoa; Chordata; Actinopteri; Cypriniformes; Cyprinidae. The transcript is spliced from 5 exons.